RNAcentral lists this ribosomal RNA (500 nucleotides) under uncultured bacterium. RNAcentral's name for it is "partial 16S ribosomal RNA". It matches the Rfam family "Bacterial small subunit ribosomal RNA", at positions 30 to 523 of the family's 1533-position model. The record is from RNAcentral.
AUUGAACGCUGGCGGCAUGCCUUACACAUGCAAGUCGAACGGCAGCACGGGAGCAAUCCUGGUGGCGAGUGGCGAACGGGUGAGUAAAGUAUCGGAACGUGCCCAGUCGUGGGGGAUAACGUAGCGAAAGUUACGCUAAUACCGCAUACGAUCUAUGGAUGAAAGCGGGGGAUCGCAAGACCUCGCGCGAUUGGAGCGGCCGAUAUCAGAUUAGGUGGUUGGUGGGGUAAAGGCUCACCAAGCCGACGAUCUGUAGCUGGUCUGAGAGGACGACCAGCCACACUGGGGCUGAGACACGGCCCAGACUCCUACGGGAGGCAGCAGUGGGGAAUUUUGGACAAUGGGCGCAAGCCUGAUCCAGCCAUGCCGCGUGCAGGAUGAAGGCCUUCGGGUUGUAAACUGCUUUUGUACGGAACGAAAAGGUUUGACUUAAUACGUUGGACUCAUGACGGUACCGUAAGAAUAAGCACCGGCUAACUACGUGCCAGCCGCCGCGGUAA